This is a long non-coding RNA of Brassica napus (rape), 958 nucleotides long. RefSeq lists it as uncharacterized. The record is from RefSeq and is a predicted model, not a curated record. NCBI's taxonomy places the organism in Eukaryota, Viridiplantae, Streptophyta, Magnoliopsida, Brassicales, Brassicaceae. The transcript is spliced from 3 exons.
UCUCGCCUCUCAUACUAUUAAGGUAUUACGAUGAUGUUGCUUGUGUGCUAAGAAAAAUGUGUUUAGACGCAAAGGCUCCUCAUCUUUCAUCGACUCUACCACCUACUUUGCCUUGGAAGUUCAAUAAACAUGUACAGCCUAAUAAAGGACUAACCCGCCAAGGCAAUGGGAACUCAGAAGAGCUACAUUGUGUCAUUGUUGUUAUUCGACAGUAUGUUUUCUUAGCAUAUAAAUCACCUUUAUCUCCUCUAUACUUCUAUCUGUUAAAAUUUUGUUAUUACAUGACAGUGGCGAUCGAACUCCAAAACAGAAGGUGAAACUAAAUGUUACAGAGGAGAAACUGUUAAACCUGAUGCUAAGUACAAUGGUGGAAAGCCAAGAGCUGAGACAAAACUAAAAAGUGCAGUCCAGUUGCAAGACCUAUUAGAUGCAACAAGAAUGUUAGUUCCCCGUACAAGACCAGGUCGUGAGAGUGAUAGUGAUCCAGAAGACCUUGAACAUGCUGAGAAGCUUCACCAAGUUAAAGCAGUUAUUGAAGAGGUUCUUUAGUAAUUUCUUUUUUUUUGUUGAACAUAGUCCGGGGAAAGUAUUACAUAGUAUCAUUUAGUAAUACUAUCUUAUAUCAUUUUUUUGUUGAAUAUACUAUCUUAUAAGUAAGCUAGCAUUAUGCAUUUUUUAUUUAAUUCAUGAGGUCAUUUCAAAGCAGUAAAAAAAACCUAGAAAAUUAAUAAUCGAACCAGCUACCUUUUUUUAUUAGACCGGAUAUUAGUUCCACCAAUAAUCGUGGUCAACUUACCAACAUGGUGCAUAUAUGUCAAAUUGACAAAUCUACGUUUAAAUAACCCAACCUGUAAGGGAUUUAGAUUUUUUUUGUGAAUCUCGUGGACUGAUCUAUCGCAGAUUGGGGUUCAUAGGUGAAGUUUCAAAAAAUUGUUAUAAUUUGAUUGGUCGAUUGUUU